UGAACCGGAAGCCGGGUU
This 18-nucleotide small nuclear RNA is filed under the name Arabidopsis thaliana (thale cress). Its description in RNAcentral is "snRNA_04114". The record is from RNAcentral. Lineage: Eukaryota; Viridiplantae; Streptophyta; Magnoliopsida; Brassicales; Brassicaceae.